UACGAAGGGGGCUAGCGUUGCUCGGAAUUACUGGGCGUAAAGCGCACGUAGGCGGUUUGUUAAGUCGGGGGUGAAAUCCUGGAGCUCAACUCCAGAACUGCCUUCGAUACUGGCGAUCUAGAGUCCGGGAGAGGUGAGUGGAACUGCGAGUGUAGAGGUGAAAUUCGUAGAUAUUCGCAAGAACACCAGUGGCGAAGGCGGCUCACUGGCCCGGUACUGACGCUGAGGUGCGAAAGCGUGGGGAGCAAACAGG
This 253-nucleotide ribosomal RNA is filed under the name uncultured bacterium. Its description in RNAcentral is "partial 16S ribosomal RNA". It matches the Rfam family "Bacterial small subunit ribosomal RNA", at positions 524 to 776 of the family's 1533-position model. The record is from RNAcentral.